This 468-nucleotide ribosomal RNA is filed under the name uncultured bacterium. Its description in RNAcentral is "partial 16S ribosomal RNA". It matches the Rfam family "Bacterial small subunit ribosomal RNA", at positions 28 to 507 of the family's 1533-position model. The record is from RNAcentral.
GACGAACGCUGGCGGCGUGCUUAACACAUGCAAGUCGAACGGAAAGGCCCUGCUUUUGUGGGGUGCUCGAGUGGCGAACGGGUGAGUAACACGUGAGUAACCUGCCCUUGACUUUGGGAUAACUUCAGGAAACUGGGGCUAAUACCGGAUAGGAGCUCCUGCUGCAUGGUGGGGGUUGGAAAGUUUCGGCGGUUGGGGAUGGACUCGCGGCUUAUCAGCUUGUUGGUGGGGUAGUGGCUUACCAAGGCUUUGACGGGUAGCCGGCCUGAGUGGGUGACCGGACACAUUGGGACUGAGAUACGGCCCAGACUCCUACGGGAGGCAGCAGUGGGGAAUAUUGCACAAUGGGCGGAAGCCUGAUGCAGCAACGCCGCGUGCGGGAUGAAGGCCUUCGGGUUGUAAACCGCUUUCGCCUGUGACGAAGCGUGAGUGACGGUAAUGGGUAAAGAAGCACCGGCUAACUACGUG